Molecule: non-coding RNA, 22 nt
Filed under: Arabidopsis thaliana (thale cress)
Lineage: Eukaryota; Viridiplantae; Streptophyta; Magnoliopsida; Brassicales; Brassicaceae
Source: RNAcentral
CACACAUGUGCCUGCUAUGGUC